UUUUUUUUUUUCAUUUUUUUUCCUGUAGAUACAUGGAUGGAUGGAUGUGAGAUGGUGAGAUAAAUGGAUGGAUGGAUGGGUGCCAUGUCAUCGAUCCGUAGGAAGAGUUCUGAUUGGUUCGAAAAAUCAUUGAUUUAAAAUAGUUUCCAAGUAGUAAAAAUAGAGGAAUUUUGUGAAACAUCUAUCAAAAAUAUUUUGCAAAAGGGCAUCACACAAAUUUUUACAAGAGUUAGAUCACAUUUUAUGGAUGUGGAC
Molecule: long non-coding RNA, 255 nt
Filed under: Hordeum vulgare
Lineage: Eukaryota; Viridiplantae; Streptophyta; Magnoliopsida; Poales; Poaceae
Description: long non-coding RNA (HVUL_LNC004454)
Source: RNAcentral